Long non-coding RNA from Peromyscus californicus insignis, 1290 nucleotides. RefSeq lists it as uncharacterized. The record is from RefSeq and is a predicted model, not a curated record. NCBI's taxonomy places the organism in Eukaryota, Metazoa, Chordata, Mammalia, Rodentia, Cricetidae. The transcript has 2 exons.
CCAUUCCCAAAUGCUCGAGUGCAAAAUUUGACGAGGAAGGACCACUGAAGAGGUCGUGGAGGUGUUCUGCCAGCUGUUUCCCUGUUCUUUCGCAAGAUCUCUAGGCCCAAAAGUGUCUCUCCUAUUUAGGGGUGCUAGGAGAUGCAAAGCAUUCUAGCUUCUGGAAGGUUUCCAGGAGAAACUAAGUCCCUGGACUAUUGAGAACAGUCCAUGCCUUUUGCUGCACAACCAAUUGUCUGCUGCUAGAUGUGACUGGACCUUAUAUUCAAAGCUUGCCUUGAACUGUUUAUCUGAGCCAAAAAUGCAUUAACAAUUAAAGGAGAGACUGGUAUGUCAAAGGAAGGAAGGUGACUGGAGAUUGUGAUGAUUUUAAUGACUGCAAUUAUUGGAAGAUUAUUCAACAAGCAUCAUAGGUUUGUUUACUGCAUCACUAGGAAACUAUGGGGGGCCUGCUUGGCUUGAGACUGUACUUUCCCUCCUCCCUCCCCAGCCACUAUGAAGGAGUCUCAGAACCAAGCAAAGUGACAGGAGAGUCAGUUUUCUUCGUUUUAGGGGGAGUCCUACCCAAAGGAUACACAUGUGUUGCCUCAAACAACGCUAACAGAACUCUCCUCAGAGCCACUGUAAGAUUUCAUUUUCAUCUGAACCUGAUAACAAAGAAGCCCAGAGGCCAGAAGACUCUGGUCAGGAAUCCUCGGCUGGCCAGCAUGCUAGCUUCCUCAGUUUAAGCACUUCUUGGGCAGCCUGAGAGGAGGCUCUUCCCUCCUUCAUCUAAAGCUCCGAGAAGGAAGACACUCCUCCACCUCUAAGAAGCAUACCUCCAGAGCUCACCUGGGAAAGUUCCCCCUUCCUUCCUUCAACAGUCCCCUUCAAAUCAGUCCCUGGCAUGACUGUUCAGAAUAAGUAAAGGAAAAGGUAUGACCAAGAGCAUUAUCAGUUUGGGACUAGCCAAGUUUUGACUGUAAAUAUAACUGCAAGGGAUGCAAACACAGAAAGGUUCUAAUAGUGACAGAGUGUGCUUCGGUUCACAAUCACUCACCCUGGAAAUGCUGUUGUGGAGGUUAACUUUAGCCGGUGGACAUCCCUAGCAAACACUCCCCUCUUCUGGGCACCAAGGCUGGAGUGAUCGGGUGCUCUUGCUGGGAUCUGUAAUGACCAGCCUGGGACUUAAGAUGGACUGAGCUGGCGUUGAGAACCUUCCCUACUCAAGUGUGAGCUUGCAAGCUUCUGCAAAUGACAAUUAGGAACCUAUUACAAGCCAUUAGAUUGAUCAAUGUACCUUAAACAAUG